RNAcentral lists this ribosomal RNA (442 nucleotides) under uncultured bacterium. RNAcentral describes it as "partial 16S ribosomal RNA". It matches the Rfam family "Bacterial small subunit ribosomal RNA", at positions 338 to 795 of the family's 1533-position model. The record is from RNAcentral.
CCUACGAGAGGCAGCAGUGGGGAAUAUUGGGCAAUGGGCGAACGCCUGACCCAGCAACGCCGCGUGAAGGCAGAAGGCUUUCGGGUUGUAAACUUCUUUUGACAGGGAAGAGCAGAAGACGGUACCUGUCGAAUAAGCAACGGCUAACUACGUGCCAGCAGCCGCGGUAAUACGUAGGUGGCAAGCGUUGUCCGGAUUUACUGGGUGGAAAGGGCGUGUAGCCGGGCUGACAAGUCAGAUGUGAAAUCCGGGGGCUCAACCCCCGAACUGCAUUUGAAACUGUUGGUCUUGAGUAUCGGAGAGGCGAGCGGAAUUCCUAGUGUAGCGGUGAAAUGCGUAGAUAUUAGGAAGAACACCAGUGGCGAAGGCGGCCUGCUGGACGACAACUGACGGUGAGGCGCGAAAGCGUGGGGAGCAAACAGGAUUAGAUACCCCGGUAGUC